GCCCAUAGGAUGCCCAGGGGUGAACUGUCCUGAGCUGCCGUGGUCUAGACGCCUGCCUGCCCCCGCGUGCCCCACACAGCCCGCCCGCACACCCAGCAUGGAGUCCAGAGGGAAGUCGACUAACAGCCCCAAGGCCGACGCUAAGGCCACGGCCGAGACCCGAGCCCCUGCCGCCGUGGACGGGAAGGCCCCGUCCUCUAAGCCAGGGAAGAAGGAGGCCCAGGCAGAGAAGCAGGAGCCGCCGGCAGCCCCCACGCCGCCACCUGCCAAGAAGACCCCAGCCAAGGCAGACCCGGCCCUUCUCAACAAUCACAGCAACCUGAAGCCGGCCCCCGCGGCCCCCAGCACCCCCGAUGCGGCCCCCGCGCCCAAGGGCCCUGGGGACGGGGCUGAGGAGGGCGGGGCCCCCAGUGGGGGCCCCGGCAGCCGGGGGCCCUGCCCUUUCGAGAACUUGACCCCGCUGCUGGUGGCUGGGGGUGUGGCUGUGGCUGCUGCAGCCCUCGUUCUCGGGGUGGCCUUCCUGGUCCGAAAAAAAUGAUGGCCGGUGCCCAGGCUGGGCACAGCCACUUCCUGUACAGACCUUGGGAGUCUAGUGCAUGCCGAAUUCACACACCGCUAUCUAUACAUAUGUAAUACCUAUAUCGUGUCCCCCACAUACAAGCAGAGGGAGAGAGAGGUGGACAGGCCCCUACAGCAGUGGAGACCCAGCCCCCUUGAGCAGUCCCGAGGGCAGAAGGAGGCCAGGCUCUGCGGGUGGAUCCCUGACACAGGGUGGGGGCUCCAUGUGGACCCAGGCACCAGCGGACGGAUGGAGAAGCGGGCUCUGCAGGUGGCCUGCCUGCCCAAGUAUGCCAGCCUGUGCCAAGGGCCCCAGUGGUCCUGUGGUCUUCUGGCAGCAGCUCCUGAUGAAUGCCCAGGGUAGUAGGGCUGGGCAGGGGCCUGGGAUGGAUUCUGAGCUGGGUCCAGCAGACAUGGGGACAUUAAAGGGUGUAGCCAGGAUGGGGGUUCCUCUGGGUGGGCUGCCUCAGUGGGCUGAUCUGAGGUGGGUGGUCACAUUGGCUGAGUUUCCGUGCCUCCUGCCUGCUUGCUUGAGCCCUGGCUGGGUGGACAGACAGCUCAAAGGCUCGUGUCAGAGGCACUUUUGA
This 1145-nucleotide long non-coding RNA is filed under the name Bos indicus x Bos taurus (hybrid cattle). RNAcentral describes it as "lncRNA (ENSBIXG00005028384.1)". Lineage: Eukaryota; Metazoa; Chordata; Mammalia; Artiodactyla; Bovidae. The record is from RNAcentral.